This 383-nucleotide long non-coding RNA is filed under the name Zonotrichia albicollis (white-throated sparrow). RNAcentral's name for it is "lncRNA (ENSZALG00000010884.1)". The record is from RNAcentral. Lineage: Eukaryota; Metazoa; Chordata; Aves; Passeriformes; Passerellidae.
UCAGAACUGAUCUCAUAUCCAUGAGAUUUCAUUUGGAAGUCAGUGCUAAGGUACUGCUGACUUACAGCAGGCAACAUGCAUUUAUUUAGAGAAUGGUGACAAUAUAUUGAACACCCAAACCCUUUAUCUCCCAGACAAUUCUUUAAUACCAGGAGAUUCCUGAUACACAAGAGAAGAAGCUAUGGGUAAACAGCCACCUGCUUGCAGACCUGCCUGAGCCAAUGAACCUGGAAUAGAAAAGCAAAUACCUACAUUUUGAAAAGAUGGAAGUAUAAACAAAGCAGUCGACAAGAUAAUGGAUGAAAAAGCAGAAGAUAGAGCACAAAGAUCCCAAAUUGCAGAGGGACAGUCUGAAAGAAACCAGGAAAUUCCUGUGACAUGAU